RNAcentral lists this non-coding RNA (550 nucleotides) under Trichomonas vaginalis G3. RNAcentral describes it as "Eukaryotic small subunit ribosomal RNA". It matches the Rfam family "Eukaryotic small subunit ribosomal RNA", at positions 1226 to 1831 of the family's 1831-position model. Lineage: Eukaryota; Parabasalia; Trichomonadida; Trichomonadidae. The record is from Rfam by way of RNAcentral.
AGAUGUUUUUUAUGACUGACAGGCUUCGGGUCUUCAGGAUAUGUUUUGUGUGCAUGGCCGUUGGUGUGCGUGGGUUGACCUGUCUAGCGUUGAUUCAGCUAACGAGCGAGAUUAUCGCCAAUUAUUUACUUUGCCGAAGUCCUUCGGUUAAAGUUCUAAUUGGGACUCCCUGCGAUUUUAGCAGGUGGAAGAGGGUAGCAAUAACAGGUCCGUGAUGCCCUUUAGAUGCUCUGGGCUGCACGCGUGCUACAAUGUUAGGAUCAAUAGGACUGCGAGCCUGAGAGGGUGCGCUACUCUUAUAAUCCCUAACGUAGUUGGGAUUGACGUUUGUAAUCAGCGUCAUGAACCAGGAAUCCCUUGUAAAUGUGUGUCAACAACGCACGUUGAAUACGUCCCUGCCCUUUGUACACACCGCCCGUCGCUCCUACCGAUUGGAUGACUCGGUGAAAUCACCGGAUGCUUACGAGCAGAAAGUGAUUAAAUCACGUUAUCUAGAGGAAGGAGAAGUCGUAACAAGGUAACGGUAGGUGAACCUGCCGUUGGAUCAGUU